RNAcentral lists this ribosomal RNA (681 nucleotides) under Terminalia tomentosa. RNAcentral describes it as "eukaryotic LSU rRNA". The stretch from base 265 to 418 matches the Rfam family "5.8S ribosomal RNA". The record is from RNAcentral. Lineage: Eukaryota; Viridiplantae; Streptophyta; Magnoliopsida; Myrtales; Combretaceae.
GUAGGUGAACCUGCGGAAGGAUCAUUGUCGAUGCCUGCGAAGCAGAACGACCCGCGAACCGUUCCUCGGCACUCGGGAUUACCGGGGGUCGCCCGGUGGCCCGAAUCUCCGGACGCCUGGGGUGCAACCCACCUCCGGCGGACGGAGCUCCAAACAAAACCCCGGCGCGCGAAGCGCCAAGGUACUCCAACGGAUGGGGCAUGCGGCCGUAGCCCUGGGAUCCAGUGCGCUCGGGCCGCUGCCCAACGUCGUAAAAGUCUAAACGACUCUCGGCAACGGAUAUCUCGGCUCUCGCAUCGAUGAAGAACGCAGCGAAAUGCGAUACUUGGUGUGAAUUGCAGAAUCCCGUGAACCAUCGAGUCUUUGAACGCAAGUUGCGCCCGAGGCCUCGGCCGAGGGCACGUCUGCCUGGGUGUCACAACGGCAUCGUGCCUCCAAACCCUCCGCCCCUCGAACGUUGCGGCGAUUGGGUUGGAUGCGGAAGCUGGCCUCCCGUGACCGAGAGCCACGGAUGGCCCAAAUACGUGCUAAGGAAGCGGAGCGCCACGGCGUUCGGUGGUCGAACGAAGCCCCAGAAACGACGCCGGUGGCCGCCGCAUCCGUCCCUAGCCUACGACCCUAAACGUUAACCAACGCGACCUCAGGUCAGGCGGGGCUACCCGCUGAGUUUAAGCAUAUCAA